Molecule: long non-coding RNA, 297 nt
Filed under: Physcomitrium patens
Lineage: Eukaryota; Viridiplantae; Streptophyta; Bryopsida; Funariales; Funariaceae
Description: long non-coding RNA (PPAT_LNC003753)
Source: RNAcentral
UUUUAAAAUUUUUAAAGAAGUUAGGCCACAUUUUUAGCUUUCCAAGAAGCUAUAGCAUGCAAGAAAUGGAGCUAUAACGAGGGAGAUACAUGAAUUUUUUUAAAAGAGGGAGUCACUAGAGUUUUCAAGCUAUGAGAUUUAAGAUUGGUUAAGGAUUUCUAUGCCAUUUCUUAUAUUUUUUUCUUCUUAUUCUAAGAAUUUGUAAAAAAUUGGAUCUUAUUAUUAGCUUUCCAACAAGCUAUUUCAUGUAAGAAGAAGAGCUAUGAUGAGAGAAAUAUACAUGAAUUUUUAGGAAGG